UGUAAGCGUAUACCAAAGUUGUUGCAGUUAAAACGCUCGUAGUCGGAAUUUGGCAGUUCCGGAAGUGUGCACGUCGUGUGCGCACUUUGCGGGGACUGCUUUUGUGGUCUUGCGUAGGAUGAGGCACUUUCAUUAGUGAACGUCCUCACGCAACCACUCUUUACUGUGAGAAAAUCAGAGUGCUCAAAGCAGGCAUUUGCCGUGAAUGUAUUAGCAUGGAAUAAUAGAAUAGGACUCGGUUCUAUUUUGUUAGUUUGUUGGGACUGAGUAAUGAUUAAGAGGGACAGUUGGGGGCAUUUGUAUUCCGGCGCUAGAGGUGAAAUUCUUAGAUUGCCGGAAGACAAACUGCUGCGAAAGCGUCUGCCAAGGGUGUUUUCAUUAA
Molecule: ribosomal RNA, 382 nt
Filed under: uncultured eukaryote
Lineage: Eukaryota
Description: partial 18S ribosomal RNA
Rfam family: Eukaryotic small subunit ribosomal RNA
Source: RNAcentral